GAAAAAAAAAAAAAUGAUGCUUUGAGCUUUGAAAUUGUAGUUAAAGAGCAAUGGUCAGUAAAAUCUUUUGUAAGUUAACUACUCAUUUUUGUUUAAAAUUAUAUUCUUUUCUUCUUUCUAUAAAUGAUUACUUGUGACUCUACGUGAUGUGAGAAUCAAUUCAGAAGAGUUGAAGAAAUGGAGUUGAUAUUAAGAAGUAACGUCUGGUUGAGAGCCAAGAUUCCCCUUAAUGAGUCUUAUCUCUCUUCUUUAAACAAUUCGAAAUGUUUUUGCCUUUUGUUCAACAAAAUUUGAUCCUCCACUUCUCCUUCAACCAUUUAUCUUUUCUUUUCUUUUCUUUUUGUGGAAGCUUAACUAUUAUAUCCUCUUAAGUAUUUUUGUUUCGUAAUCUUUCCAUUACCUUUUGUUAUCAUUCUCGUCCAUAAAAAUAUACAGAAUAUAUUCCGUCAAACUUGUAAAGCUGAUCACAUACUUUUUAUUUAUUUAUCAAAUAGACUAUAGUUUUAUAGUAGGAUGGCCUCGGUUAGGGCAAACCCAUCAAAAGAUUUAACAAGUAUCUUACCAGUUUGUUAAUAAUAAAACAGAAUAAAUAUAAUGCAAAAAGUUUAAUUUUACUAAGCAUCGAUUCUUAGAUUAGAUGUUUUAGAUUUCUUUAGAAACCUGUGUGUGUCAAUUUGUGACUGGUCGGAGUAAAAAAAGAAAAAGAAAAAGUUUUUUUUUAUUCUCUCGUCUCUCUCGCAUCAUCGCUUCUAAUUUCCUCACCAUUCUCUCUGUUUCUGGGAUAGGUGAUUUCUGCAAUGAGUCGAAUCUUCGAUUUGGAAUAUUGAAAAGAAGAUAGACUUCUGCCUCUUCAGAUUUGAUUCAGACUUAGGACAACGUUGGUGUUGCUUCUGUUGCUUUUGGAACUUCUUACUAUCAUCUUCACCCUAACGAUGCAACUCUCCUCUGGGAUCGUCUUCCUGUUGAUAUGAUUUCGAUUUCACAUAUAAGAUGUUACUCGUGGACUGGACCAGGGUCUAGGGGGAAGAAUCUGAU
This is a non-coding RNA of Camelina sativa (false flax), 1035 nucleotides long. The record is from RefSeq and is a predicted model, not a curated record. Lineage: Eukaryota; Viridiplantae; Streptophyta; Magnoliopsida; Brassicales; Brassicaceae.